RNAcentral lists this ribosomal RNA (253 nucleotides) under uncultured bacterium. Its description in RNAcentral is "partial 16S ribosomal RNA". It matches the Rfam family "Bacterial small subunit ribosomal RNA", at positions 524 to 776 of the family's 1533-position model. The record is from RNAcentral.
UACGUAGGGUGCAAGCGUUGUCCGGAAUUAUUGGGCGUAAAGGGAGCGUAGGCGGGUUCUUAAGUUAGGUGUUUAAUCCCGGGGCCCAACCCCGGACCGGCACUUAAAACUGGGAAUCUUGAAUAGUGGAGAGGUCAGUGGAAUUGGAGGUGUAGCGGUGGAAUGCGUAGAGAUCUCCAAGAACACCAGUUGCGAAGGCGGCUGACUGGACACAUAUUGACGCUGAGGCUCGAAAGCAUGGGGAGCAAACAGG